This is a long non-coding RNA of Odocoileus virginianus texanus, 689 nucleotides long. RefSeq lists it as uncharacterized. NCBI's taxonomy places the organism in Eukaryota, Metazoa, Chordata, Mammalia, Artiodactyla, Cervidae. The record is from RefSeq and is a predicted model, not a curated record.
GCCCAGCCCUGGGCGGGGGACCCAGGUUCCUCAGCCCUCGCAGCAGCAGCCGUGCUCAUCCUUUCUGCACCCUUGCCAGCCCUGGGAAGAAGCAGGUGUGAGCAGAGUUGGGGUAUACAGGGCCUGCUGCGUAUAGGGGCCUGCGUGGGUCCUGGAGCCACAACCAGGAAUAACUGGGAGCCUCACUUCUGCUCUCGAGAGUCCUGAAGGAGUGGGAGACGGACACACAGGAGAGGAGCUGAUUAAAAACAGCGGUGGCGGUGAGAACAGCUGGUACCUGUGAGCCCGUGGAGGGCAGCCGAGCCCAGAGAUGGCGAGGGCCGUCCUCGUUCGCAUAAGUGAAGCAGACCAUCGAACCACUCGUGGGCAAGUGGCUUUGCUUCCCCGGGCCUCGGCUUCCCAUCUGUAGAGUGGGAUAAUAAUGGUGCCAUCUUAUGAUGCUUGCAUGGAUUCAUACAUGUGAGGAGUGCCUGACACAGGAAGUGCCAUCCAGCAGGGUGUGCAGUGAACAGGCUCUGAGGAAGCAGAGGGGAAGCUCUACUUUACAACCUCGUUGAUUUCCCUCAUAGAUGGAAAUCCACCACAGUGGAUUUCAAGCUACCAGUAAUUGAACAAUGGGCUUGCAAAACUCUUGAAUGUUUAAUCAUUUGUUCUCACAAGCUGGUCUGAGAUAACUUUGUACACCACUA